RNAcentral lists this transfer RNA (64 nucleotides) under Lygus hesperus (lygus bug). Its description in RNAcentral is "tRNA-Phe". RNAcentral also lists the same sequence under 1 other name. The record is from RNAcentral. Lineage: Eukaryota; Metazoa; Arthropoda; Insecta; Hemiptera; Miridae.
AUUUGAGUAGCUUAAAAUAAAAGCUUAAUAUUGAAGAUAUUAGGAUGGAAUUUUCCCUUGAAUA